UCCGUAGGUGAACCUGCGGAAGGAUCAUUACCGAGUUGAUUCGGGCUCCGGCCCGAUCCUCCCACCCUUUGUGUACCUACCUCUGUUGCUUUGGCGGGCCGCGGUCCUCCGCGGCCGCCCCCCUCCCCGGGGGGGUGGCCAGCGCCCGCCAGAGGACCAUCAAACUCCAGUCAGUAAACGAUGCAGUCUGAAAAACAUUUAAUAAACUAAAACUUUCAACAACGGAUCUCUUGGUUCUGGCAUCGAUGAAGAACGCAGCGAAAUGCGAUAAGUAAUGUGAAUUGCAGAAUUCAGUGAAUCAUCGAAUCUUUGAACGCACAUUGCGCCCUUUGGUAUUCCGAAGGGCAUGCCUGUUCGAGCGUCAUUACAACCCUCAAGCUCUGCUUGGUAUUGGGCACCGUCCUUUGCGGGCGCGCCUCAAAGACCUCGGCGGUGGCGUCUUGCCUCAAGCGUAGUAGAACAUACAUCUCGCUUCGGAGCAGCAGGGCGUCGCCCGCCGGACGAACCUUCUGAACUUUUCUCAAGGUUGACCUCGGAUCAGGUAGGGAUACCCGCUGAACUUAAGCAUAUCAAUAAGCGGAGGA
Molecule: ribosomal RNA, 584 nt
Filed under: Botryosphaeria dothidea
Lineage: Eukaryota; Fungi; Ascomycota; Dothideomycetes; Botryosphaeriales; Botryosphaeriaceae
Description: eukaryotic LSU rRNA
Rfam family: 5.8S ribosomal RNA (bases 211-364)
Source: RNAcentral